RNAcentral lists this ribosomal RNA (447 nucleotides) under uncultured bacterium. Its description in RNAcentral is "partial 16S ribosomal RNA". It matches the Rfam family "Bacterial small subunit ribosomal RNA", at positions 330 to 794 of the family's 1533-position model. The record is from RNAcentral.
ACCAGACUCCUACGGGAGGCAGCAGUGGGGGAUAUUGCACAAUGGGGGGAACCCUGAUGCAGCGACGCCGCGUGGGUGAAGAAGCGCCUCGGCGCGUAAAGCCCUGUCAGCAGGGAAGAAAAUGACGGUACCUGAAGAAGAAGCCCCGGCUAACUACGUGCCAGCAGCCGCGGUAAUACGUAGGGGGCAAGCGUUAUCCGGAUUUACUGGGUGUAAAGGGGGCGCAGACGGCGAUGCAAGCCAGGAGUGAAAGCCCGGGGCCCAACCCCGGGACUGCUCUUGGAACUGCGUGGCUGGAGUGCAGGAGGGGCAGGCGGAAUUCCUGGUGUAGCGGUGAAAUGCGUAGAUAUCAGGAGGAACACCGGUGGCGAAGGCGGCCUGCUGGACUGCAACUGACGUUGAGGCCCGAAAGCGUGGGGAGCAAACAGGAUUAGAUACCCUAGUAGU